CCCUUAGAUGUUCUGGGCCGCACGCGCGCUACACUGAUUCAUGCAACAAGUUUUGUCCUUGGCUGAUAGGCCUGGGUAAUCUUUGAAUGUGAAUCGUGAUGGGGAUAGAUGAUUGCAAUUAUUCAUCUUCAACGAGGAAUUCCUAGUAAACGCAAGUCAUCAGCUUGCAUUGAUUACGUCCCUGCCCUUGUACACACCGCCCGUCGCACCUACCGAUUGAAUGGUCCGGUGAAAUCUUCGGAUCUGAGAGAUGUCUGAUUAAUUUCGGACGCCUUUUGGAAAAGUUGUUUAAACCUUACCAUUUAGAGGAAGGUGAAGUCGUAACA
Molecule: ribosomal RNA, 326 nt
Filed under: uncultured eukaryote
Lineage: Eukaryota
Description: partial 18S ribosomal RNA
Rfam family: Eukaryotic small subunit ribosomal RNA
Source: RNAcentral